GCUAAAGCUACAAAUAAGAGGUCCCGCCUGCCCUGUGACGAUAAGUUUAACGGCCGCGGUAUCCUGACCGUGCGAAGGUAGCGCAAUCACUUGUCUUUUAAAUGGAGACCUGUAUGAAUGGCAUAACGAGGGCUCGACUGUCUCCUCUCCCCAGUCAAUGAAAUUGAUCCUCCCGUGCAGAAGCGGGAAUACACACAUAAGACGAGAAGACCCUAUGGAGCUUUAGACACUAAAGCAGAUCAUGUCAAAACCCCCUAAACAAGGAACAAAACUAAUUGAGCUCUGCCCUAAUGUCUUCGGUUGGGGCGACCGCGAGGCACAAAAAACCCCCGCGUGGAUCAAGGACACCUACUUUCUCCUCCAGCCUCCUUACAGCCCAGAGCCCCCGCUCUCACAAACAGAACUUCUGACCUACAAGAUCCGGCAAAGCCGAUCAACGGACCAAGUUACCCUAGGGAUAACAGCGCAAUCCCCUUUUAGAGCCCAUAUCGACAAGGGGGUUUACGACCUCGAUGUUGGAUCAGGACAUCCUAAUGGUGCAGCCGCUAUUAAGGGUUCGUUUGUUCAACGAUUA
Molecule: ribosomal RNA, 574 nt
Filed under: Drepane punctata (spotted sicklefish)
Lineage: Eukaryota; Metazoa; Chordata; Actinopteri; Ephippiformes; Drepaneidae
Description: partial 16S small subunit ribosomal RNA
Rfam family: Bacterial large subunit ribosomal RNA
Source: RNAcentral